AUGUAUUAUCAUACCAGCACUAACGCACUAGAUUUCAUCAGAUCUCCACAGUUAAUCGUGUGUGGACGAGAGUAGUAUUAGGAUGGAUGACUUCUCGAGAAGUUAAGAAUUACUACAUA
Non-coding RNA from Gossypium hirsutum (cotton), 119 nucleotides. The record is from Rfam. Lineage: Eukaryota; Viridiplantae; Streptophyta; Magnoliopsida; Malvales; Malvaceae.